CAAGAAAAAAAUCACAAUUUUUCUCUAAAAUUAGCUAUCAAUUUGGAAUAGUAUCCCUAAAAGCAACUGAGCACUUUGAAAUGUGAUUAACUGGAAAUGUUAAAACCAGUCAUGUAAAAGAUUUUCAUAGAAAGUACUGAUCACAAAUACACACCUAGUAGACAAGUAUCUUGUAGACCUCAAGGUUUUCCUUAUAGAGUACAUACACAGAUAUCUGAAGUGAGUGAAUUUCGAAUGUAUGAAUUUCAGAAGAAAGUCUUUUCCUUCACUGCAGUUAUUUUCCCUUCAAGGCAUAAUAAAGCCAUAUAGCUUCUGUGCUACUUACUGUGACUUCUCCAAAUAGAAGCUGACUGUCUCAUCAACUCAAGGCAAAUAGAUAUAUACAGCUGUUUUGUGAUGUGGACUAUUAUCCUUUAGGGCCCUCUAGGGACUGAACUGUAAUUGCCAAAUUUUAUUAUAGCCAGAAGAGAGGGUUAGAAGUGAAAGGUUUUAUUUGACAUCACAGACCACCAAGUGGCUGUGAACGUAUAGGUGGUUGUCACCCCUCUCCUUCCUGUAGUGUGUCAGUCUUCCAUAGAUGAACAAAACAAAAGAGCUUUGCUGGAAUUGCAUAUAUGAAUGAUACAGAUGCAAAUAUGUCCUCAUAAACCAAAAUAUUUCUAAAGCAGAAGUGUAAUUUCUGUGGUGUAAAGAAAUAAAAAAUUAAAAUGAUCUUAACUAUCUCAAAUAUUUAGCUGAUUGGCCAUUACUUGCCAAAAGAGUAGUACUGGCUAGUGAUGAGGGCUGCUUGGUCCAGGUACAGAAUAAGUGAGCGCUACCCUAGACAAGCUGUUGCAUCUUCCUCAUCCUCCGCUCAGAUAGGGAGCAGUCGGCAAAAAGCUGAUGAGCAAGGGGAGAGCAGGAAGGAAGUGGCUGUGCCCUGAAGUCAGAUGGCCAGACAGUUUGCUUCUAAAUCACAGCGAGCAGAAACCAUCCUCCUAUGGAGAGGUCAUAUCGGAUGAAGAUAGCAGUCCUGCUAUGGGAAACACAUGAUCGUUGGUGUUAAAAGGACUUAAGACAGAAUUUUUGUAGCAAGAUUGGCCAAAACCAGGCUAGGUUUUCCUCCGCCCUCAAAAUACUGUCAGGUGAAAAGCAUCACAUGAAGAUGUUGCAACAUAAAGAACUUAUGUUCAUUUGGUUAGUCCAGGAGAAGAGAAUGGCUAAAACCCAGUCCACACAGUGAAAGUCAUGGCAGUGGGCUAGCAUACUUAGGGUCUUGACCAUACCACAGACCUCAGCUGCAAAAAUACACAUAUGGGCUGAAGAAAACUAUCAGAGAUAGAGAAGAGAGCUUCCUCCUCAGGGACCGUUAUUCUAGUGUCUGAAUGUGCCUGGGAUUUGAGAUUCAUAUACGAGUUUUAGCUUGUAUACUCUUGCGUAAUGCAUGAAUCUGUGCCAUCCUCACUCUGUGGCCAGAACCAAUUCAUUGCAGGAGUGGUAGACUCUUACAGACCGUGGGGACUGAUAGAUGGAACCAUUUGGUAAAUGGAGAUGCCCUAAUGAAAGCCUUAGCUCUCAAGUAUAUAAAUGCAGAUGAAACUCUUUUAUCAUGUAAGUGAAGAAAGAGAAAGCCCAGCAAGGACUGUAUUUAAGCUGUUGCCUAUUUUCUGCAGCACAGAAAAUCAAAGCUGAAUUAGUCCACAAGGUCACAUCCUGCUGCUGUUACUGGAGGAAGAAAUACUGGGUGUGCUGGGAAAAAAGAUAUAAGUAUUAGAAAUUGGAAAAACUUUCAUCUUCUAAAUUACUUUAUUAGGCAUUUUGGGAGACUUUAGGGGCAGAAAUAAUUGGACUGAAUUGUAAAAGCAAUGCUGCUUCUGUAACUCUAAACCUGCAAGGGCAUUAGUUCUUUUGUUCAGCUUUUAAUCUUCUUUGUAAGAAAGAAAAUUGCUCUUUUACUAUGUAUGGAGUUUUACAGGAGAAAAAACACUCAGUAAUAGCCCCUCAAUUUGAGCUUCACCAUGAACAAAUAAAUAUACAUUACGCAGAAUUUGCUGUUUGCCAGGGAGGCAGCCCUGUGCUUUCUCUGCUCAGUCCCAGCCUCUGUCUGAGAACUAUCAUCAGCUCCUGCCUGGAAAGGUCAGCAGCUGGGUGCCUAAAGCUCCUUCCAGAAAGGCAGAAAUUGCAAAUGUGAAUCACCUAUAGGAGAGGAAGGAGUUGUAAGUAUGAUGCCUUGGUAAACAUCCUAAAACUGGGUUAUGAUAUAAAAGAGGAACAAAGGAGUCUCAUCCUAGCUGGAUUUUAAGUGAAUCAAUUCUAGUCUUCCAAAAACCAGGGUUGCUGGGAAAAGGUUCAGAGCUGAUUGCAAAGACGACAAAAAUAUUCUCUGAGGCAUUGGAACAGAAGUAAAAGAGACCAGAUUUAAUAUCUUUUGGAUACGUUUAUGCUCCACACAUUACAGAGAAAUGUGAUGAAGGAAGGAUGAGGGAUUGUUAUUAAGUGACAUGGAUAAUGACCUAUAAUGGGAGAUUAUGGUACUUUAAUGUUAAACAUGCUGUCGUUCAUCAAAUGCUUAAGUUGACUAACUUCCUUUCAAAGAGCCUAACAUUGAAGUUUCAGAUGACAGCUGCAAGAGGCAGAUCUAGCAGCUGUGACACAGGUUGACUGGCUGUCUUUGGGCACCUCGCUUUGCUAUAAAGCUGAAUGAGACAGUAGAGGGAAACAGCCUGAGAUUUGUCUUGCCAACUACAGUCUCCACUUCAAGGUAGGAUGACUUGUGUGCUUAACUGUGUGGUCCAUAAUAACCAGAUGCUAUUUCACAGCCAGAGUAACUACUUGGUAUUUAAAUUUCUACAUCACAAACUCCUACUCUUUAGAUGAGUCCCAUCGUUCCUGUCCAACAGUUCUCAUCCCUAUGUUGAAUGGUUUUUAACAGUGCCUUAAUUACAGAGCUCUGAACUCUCUUGGCCCUGCUCACUGUUCUGUAAUAUGGAUAAUAAUUUCUAGGAUGAAAUCUCUUUUUCUGAAUAUAUUUAACAUCUUUUAUAAGAGUCUAAAAUAGAAACUCUGAGAACAUUAACUUAGAGCACUUUUCAAGUUCAUCUUACUUGCAGUGCAUUAAAGUGAAGUGACAAGUGAGGUGUGACGUGAAGUAAUUAUACUGAUUGUGUUGUAUGUGCUCUGCAGGAGCUGAAUGAUUUGCUGAGGAUAUUAAUUUCAAGACAGCAAGAGAUCAGCUGAGAUGAAAGAUCACUGCAAAGUGACCUCACACCAGGGGAAAAGAAAAUGAAGAGGAGGGUGUGGUUCAGAACAGGAAUUCAGUGCUGUAUAGUCUAGCAGUGAACCACAGCAGAUGCAUUUUGACAACAAAUGUGAUCUUCGUGUGACUAUGGUCACGGUCUAUGGAGAGAAGGGGAGCAUAAUUCACCUGGCUUAUUUUAGAUAUCGACAUUGGGAUGUGGUAAAUCAAUAGCCUAGACUCCCAGGUUUAUAAAACUUGGGCAGAAUUUCUGCAGUUAGAGAUGCUUCACUCCCAGGGUCCACAGGUGAAGGGUAGGUGUGUACAAACCUAAAAUGAGCCACCACCUGUCUUAUCUGUACGUAGUCAUGAGCUUGUCUGAUCACGACACCUGUGAUAUUAGAUUUCAUGACAGUGGAAAUUGUAGCUAAGUAGAGACAGCAUACAAUGAGAACAAGUUGAUCAGGACCUUUGUCAACAACAAACACAGUAAACUAAAUUUCUUUGAUCUUUAAAACAAUUUUCAGUCAUGAGAAGUUAAUAAGAAUUUAAAAGCUUUUCUCCAUGAAAUGUUCACUGCUGAAAUCAGUUUUGAAUUUGUGUAGUUAAACUGUUAUACAUCCCUGAACAGAUAAAUUAAGAUUAGUUUAAUCCUGUUGUACUUUGGCUUUAGCUUAGUUUGGCAGUCUAGCAGUGCAACUAAUACUGCUUUCACUUAGAGAUUGUCACUGCUUCACUUUAAUAAACUAAUUAGCAAGACAUAAAGUGAAUCUGAGGGGCUUUGAGAGCCGUGGGCUAGAUCUUCCCCAGGGAACUAAAACCAUUGGUAGGUGGGUGCCAGUUCUCAGUGUAACACAGCAUUAAUGAAGAGGUUGUCAUGAAGCUUGUUUGGGUGGCAUAUUCCUUGAGUCUGCUUAUCUAUGCUCAGAGAAGGAGGAAGGCAGAAGCAAAAGCAUGACCCUGUGCUAACAAGGACCUCCAUCCUUGAUCCAUUCCACACUACUUCAUCUAUCAUCUGUCAGAAGGAAAAAAAAGACUAACUACAUUCGUUUGACUGAAGUGUUGAUUUGGCCAAGAAACAAUGCUCUGUCACAUCCAAACAAAAUGAAAACAAAAAUCUGUAAUCAGCAUAGCCAUCAUAGUUACUGACUCAGACUCUACAGGGCUAAACACAGGCAGUUCCUGAGCUGGAUGCUUGAGGAUCCCUGGACACUUGUAUUUUCAGCUGAUAAGGCUCAGUCUGUACUGAAGAGAAAACUGGCCAAUGGAGCCUAUCCUCUGAAAAGCUAGAAGUCUGGGUGCACCUGAUCCUCACCAGCUGUCAGUGAACUUUUUAGAAAUAGGUCUUUUGUCUCAUCCACCAUGGUGAUGAUAUACCUCCAAUAAAACCAAUUUGGACAAGGGGUUUAGCUUUUUGACUGGUAACAUAGAAGAAAGAAUCAUCUUGCUCACUGAUUAAGGUUCUAUCCUUUUAUGACAUCAUUAACUGCAUCAGUACUCCAACCUCUGCAGUACAGGAACCAUCUCCAGGCCUGCUGUUGAGAAGUGAUGCUUGAUCUGUUUGGUUGGACCAUAAUACAAAGCACAACUGAAUGGUUGAAUUACAAAGACA
This is a non-coding RNA of Meleagris gallopavo (turkey), 4826 nucleotides long. The record is from RefSeq and is a predicted model, not a curated record. Lineage: Eukaryota; Metazoa; Chordata; Aves; Galliformes; Phasianidae.